GCCCAGGUGGCGGAAUUGGUAGACGCGCACGGUUCAGGUCCGUGUGGCCGUGAGGUCGUGGAAGUUCGAGUCUUCUCCUGGGCACCA
RNAcentral lists this transfer RNA (87 nucleotides) under Magnetospirillum sp. RNAcentral's name for it is "tRNA-Leu". It matches the Rfam family "tRNA". From Rfam's summary of the family: Transfer RNA (tRNA) molecules are approximately 80 nucleotides in length. Their secondary structure includes four short double-helical elements and three loops (D, anti-codon, and T loops). Lineage: Bacteria; Pseudomonadati; Pseudomonadota; Alphaproteobacteria; Rhodospirillales; Rhodospirillaceae. The record is from RNAcentral. RNAcentral also lists the same sequence under 7 other names.